Molecule: ribosomal RNA, 1054 nt
Filed under: Plagiorchis sp. 11_1 SS-2022
Lineage: Eukaryota; Metazoa; Platyhelminthes; Trematoda; Plagiorchiida; Plagiorchiidae
Description: SSU rRNA
Rfam family: Eukaryotic small subunit ribosomal RNA
Source: RNAcentral
GGACGGCAAGUUUACUUUGAACAAAUUUGAGUGCUCAAAGCAGGCCUGUGCCUGAAAAUUCUUGCAUGGAAUAAUGGAAUAGGACUUCGGUUCUAUUUUGUUGGUUUUCGGAUCCGAAGUAAUGGUUAAGAGGGACAGACGGGGGCAUUUGUAUGGCGGUGUUAGAGGUGAAAUUCUUGGAUCGCCGCCAGACAAACUACAGCGAAAGCAUUUGCCAAGGAUGUUUUCAUUGAUCUGGAGCGAAAGUCAGAGGUUCGAAGACGAUCAGAUACCGUCCUAGUUCUGACCAUAAACGAUGCCAACUGACGAUCCGUGGAUGUUCUUUAAUGACCCCACGGGCAGUCCCCGGGAAACCUUUAAGUCUUUGGGCUCCGGGGGAAGUAUGGUUGCAAAGCUGAAACUUAAAGGAAUUGACGGAAGGGCACCACCAGGAGUGGAGCCUGCGGCUUAAUUCGACUCAACACGGGAAAACUCACCCGGCCCGGACACUGUGAGGAUUGACAGAUUGAUAGCUCUUUCUUGAUUCGGUGGUUGGUGGUGCAUGGCCGUUCUUAGUUGGUGGAGCGAUUUGUCUGGUUAAUUCCGAUAACGAACGAGACUUUGGCCUGCUAAAUAGUAUACCUGUCCUCUGUGCUCGUGCAGGUGGCAGUUUUCACUGCCCGUUCUACGGGUGGUUGGAGCUGUUCGCCGGCGGGUACUGCGCAGGUGUUUACUUCUUAGAGGGACAAGCGACGCUAGUCGCACGAAAAUGAGCAAUAACAGGUCUGUGAUGCCCUUAGAUGUCCGGGGCCGCACGUGCGCUACAAUGACGGUUUCAGCGAGUUUUGAAACCUGGCCCGAAAGGGUUGGGCAAACUGAGUCAUAACCGUCGUGACUGGGAUCGGGGCUUGCAAUUAUUCCCCGUGAACGAGGAAUUCCUGGUAAGUGCAAGUCAUAAGCUUGCGCUGAUUACGUCCCUGCCCUUUGUACACACCGCCCGUCGCUACUACCGAUUGAAUGGUUUAGCAAGGUCGUCGGAUUGGUGCCAUUGUAGUUGCUUCGGCAGCUCGAACGG